AACUUUUAAGGGGAAUCCAUUUCAGCUUCUUCUCUCUCUGUAACUAUCUUCUUCAUUUGGACCACCAUGUCUUUUAGGAGGAAAGGCAACCACAACUACUAGCCAGGAUUAAGCUUGGAGAAGAUCAGGUUUAUAAACUGCUCUACAUUCAAGGAAUACCUGAGUGGUGUACUGAAAUAAAAUAUGUGCUACUCCCCAUUGAUUUGAAUGCAUGGUGAGCCUCACAAAGAGCUGAACGCUUUGUGCUCCCUCAUCAACUGAACUAAAUAUGAAGGCCUACAUAUAUGUGCUCAUUCACAACUCGGGACAGGCUCUGGAUCAGGACACUGAAAUGUUCAUCUCUAUACUCCGCUGACAGAAGAUGUGUGCAUCAGUUCUAGGGUGAGGCUGUCAAUGUGCUGAACCAGUGCCUGGCUGCGACAAUGGACUGGAUGUGGGCUAAUAAACUGAGGCUCAAUCCAGACAAGACUGAGAUGCUGUUAGCGGGCAGUUCAUCUGACCGGAUGGUGGAUGUCGAACUUGUCCUGGAUGGGGUCGUACUCCCCCUGAAA
This is a long non-coding RNA of Rhineura floridana, 551 nucleotides long. RefSeq lists it as uncharacterized. The transcript has 3 exons. NCBI's taxonomy places the organism in Eukaryota, Metazoa, Chordata, Lepidosauria, Squamata, Rhineuridae. The record is from RefSeq and is a predicted model, not a curated record.